UACGUAGGGUGCGAGCGUUGUCCGGAAUUAUUGGGCGUAAAGAGCGUGUAGGCGGCUUGGUAAGUCCGCUGUGAAAGUCCAGGGCUCAACCCUGGAAAGCCGGUGGAAACUGUCAAGCUUGAGUCCGGAAGAGGCGAGUGGAAUUCCUGGUGUAGCGGUGAAAUGCGCAGAUAUCAGGAGGAACACCAAUGGCGAAGGCAGCUCGCUGGGACGGUACUGACGCUGAGACGCGAAAGCGUGGGGAGCAAACAGG
This 253-nucleotide ribosomal RNA is filed under the name uncultured bacterium. RNAcentral's name for it is "partial 16S ribosomal RNA". It matches the Rfam family "Bacterial small subunit ribosomal RNA", at positions 524 to 776 of the family's 1533-position model. The record is from RNAcentral.